CUGAUAUAGGUAUAUGUCUGUCAUAUUGAGGUAUGUAGCUAUAAGUUAAACCUGAUCAAUAAAAUGGAUAGGUGUAAACAAUUAUGGUAAUUCCAAAUGCCCUUAACUAGGUAACUUUGCUAGACAAGCACAGAGAGAGAGGGGGGGUGGAGAAAGAGAGGAAGAAUGUGAGAAAGAAAGGAUGAAGUGAGAGAGGGAGAAAGAGAUGGGGGAAGAGUGGAAGACGGAGAGAGAUGGAAAGCGAGAAACAGAGAAAGAAAGACAGCAGUGCAAAUGUACUCGUCUCUUCCAACUUGUUAGGCAAUCGCAUGUACCUACGGGGGAAGGAUUGGCAGCCACACAGGAGGGUGAUUUUUACUAAGGAGGAGAAGGAGGCCGUGCUGACAGAGAUGCAUGCUGGCCAUUUCGGAGUAAAGCGCAUCUUUGCCAAAAUCAACCUACGCAUCUUCUGAUGGGGAAAUGUCAAGGAGGUGGACAGCUGGGCAACCUACGUUAGCUCAACCGUCCCGUGGAUGGGACACUGAUCCCGAAGAAGUUUAAAGCUCAGUACCCUGUCUAGCCUGCCAGAAGUUUGAGAAGGUGAAGACUGUGGCGCCGGAGUUGAAUCCCAUCAAAGUUGUUUCCCCAUGUCACAUGAUCGGGUUGGACCUCAUCGAGCCCUUCACAAAAUCCAGGAAUGGCAAAAGCUGGUGUCUGACAGCGACCAAUCAUUUUACCAAAUGGGUGGAGGCAAUACCCAUUAAGGUCAGCAAAGGAAGAGAACGUGCUUAACGCUAAAUUCCCUUCUGUAACCCAUUUAAAAAGGGUGCUUGGAACCCCAACAUCAUUUUUGUUUUGUAUGAUACCCAUCAAGGACUAAACUGGCGAGGUCACCUCCAAGGUGAUAAUGGUCAUCUUCAUUUUUACUUUUAGCAGACGCUCUUAUCCAGAGCGACUUACAGUAGUGAAAGCAUACAUUCCAUUUCAUGCAUUUGUUUUUUGUACUGGCCCCCCGUGGGAAUCGAACCCACAACCCUGGCAUUGCACACACCAUGCUGGCGUUGCAAACACCAUGCUCUACCUACUGAGCCACAGGGAAGGCAACACCCACAGUUCUCUUGAGGUCAUCUUGAGUGACCGAGGUCAUGAACACUGGAACAAGGUUUGGUGA
Molecule: long non-coding RNA, 1150 nt
Filed under: Salmo trutta (river trout)
Lineage: Eukaryota; Metazoa; Chordata; Actinopteri; Salmoniformes; Salmonidae
Description: lncRNA (ENSSTUG00000019463.1)
Source: RNAcentral